CCUACGGGAGGCAGCAGUGAGGAAUAUUGGUCAAUGGCCGGAAGGCUGAACCAGCCAUGCCGCGUGAAGGUCAGUGCCCUAUGGGCGUUAAACUUCUUUUGUCGGGGAACAAAGGCGUCCACGGGUGGGCGGAUGAGUGUACCCGAAGAAAAAGCAUCGGCUAACUCCGUGCCAGCAGCCGCGGUAAUACGGGGGAUGCGAGCGUUAUCCGGAUAUAUUGGGGUUAAAGGGUGCGUACGCGGACAGUCAAGUCAGCGGUAAAAAUGCGGUGCUAAACGCCGUACAGCCGUUGAAACUGGCAGUCUUGAGUGGGCGAGAAGUAUGCGGAAUGCGUGGUGUAGCGGUGAAAUGCAUAGAUAUCACGCAGAACUCCGAUUGCGAAGGCAGCAUACCGGCGCCCUACUGACGCUGAGGCACGAAAGCGUGGGUAUCGAACAGGAUUAGAUACCCGAGUAGUC
Molecule: ribosomal RNA, 458 nt
Filed under: uncultured bacterium
Lineage: Bacteria
Description: partial 16S ribosomal RNA
Rfam family: Bacterial small subunit ribosomal RNA
Source: RNAcentral